UACGUAGGGUGCGAGCGUUGUCCGGAAUUAUUGGGCGUAAAGCGCACGUAGGCGGUUUGUUAAGUCGGAUGUGAAAUCCCUCGGCUCAACUGAGGAAGUGCAUCCGAAACUGGCAAGCUUGAGUACGAAAGAGGGUCGCGGAAUUCCCGGUGUAGAGGUGAAAUUCGUAGAUAUCGGGAGGAACACCGGUGGCGAAGGCGGCGACCUGGGUCGAUACUGACGCUGAGGUGCGAAAGCGUGGGGAGCAAACAGG
This 253-nucleotide ribosomal RNA is filed under the name uncultured bacterium. Its description in RNAcentral is "partial 16S ribosomal RNA". It matches the Rfam family "Bacterial small subunit ribosomal RNA", at positions 524 to 776 of the family's 1533-position model. The record is from RNAcentral.